RNAcentral lists this transfer RNA (83 nucleotides) under Apaloderma vittatum (bar-tailed trogon). It matches the Rfam family "tRNA". From Rfam's summary of the family: Transfer RNA (tRNA) molecules are approximately 80 nucleotides in length. Their secondary structure includes four short double-helical elements and three loops (D, anti-codon, and T loops). Lineage: Eukaryota; Metazoa; Chordata; Aves; Trogoniformes; Trogonidae. The record is from Rfam by way of RNAcentral.
GGCCGGAUAGCUCAGUGGUUUGAGCGUGGUGCUGACAACAAUGACCAAUACCGAGGUCGCGAGUUCAAUUCACGCUCGGCCCC